AUUGAACGCUGGCGGCAGGCCUAACACAUGCAAGUCGAACGGUAGCACAGAGAGCUUGCUCUCGGGUGACGAGUGGCGGACGGGUGAGUAAUGUCUGGGAAACUGCCCGAUGGAGGGGGAUAACUACUGGAAACGGCAGCUAAUACCGCAUAACGUCGCAAGACCAAAGUGGGGGACCUUCGGGCCUCACACCAUCGGAUGUGCCCAGAUGGGAUUAGCUAGUAGGUGGGGUAAUGGCUCACCUAGGCGACGAUCCCUAGCUGGUCUGAGAGGAUGACCAGCCACACGGGAACUGAGACACGGUCCAGACUCCUACGGGAGGCAGCAGUGGGGAAUAUUGCACAAUGGGCGCAAGCCUGAUGCAGCCAUGCCGCGUGUAUGAAGAAGGCCUUCGGGUUGUAAAGUACUUUCAGCGGGGAGGAAGGCGGUGAAGUUAAUAACUUCACCGAUUGACGUUACCCGCAGAAGAAGCACCGGCUAACUCCGUGCCAGCCGCCGCAGUAA
RNAcentral lists this ribosomal RNA (504 nucleotides) under uncultured bacterium. Its description in RNAcentral is "partial 16S ribosomal RNA". It matches the Rfam family "Bacterial small subunit ribosomal RNA", at positions 29 to 523 of the family's 1533-position model. The record is from RNAcentral.